This 135-nucleotide ribosomal RNA is filed under the name Trifolium pratense (red clover). RNAcentral's name for it is "rRNA SSU_rRNA_eukarya". It matches the Rfam family "Eukaryotic small subunit ribosomal RNA", at positions 1670 to 1797 of the family's 1831-position model. Lineage: Eukaryota; Viridiplantae; Streptophyta; Magnoliopsida; Fabales; Fabaceae. The record is from RNAcentral.
CGUUCGUCGCUCCUACCGAUUGAAUGGUCUGGUGAGGUGUUCAGAUUGCGGCAACGUGGACAGUUCUCUUCCCCUGACAUUGUGAGAAGAAGUCCACCGAACCUUAUCAUUUAGAGGAAGGAGAAGUCGUAACAA